UACGGAGGGUGCAAGCGUUAAUCGGAAUUACUGGGCGUAAAGCGUGCGCAGGCGGUUUGUUAAGUCCGUUGUGAAAGCCCCGAGCUCAACUUGGGAAUUGCAGUGGAUACUGGCAGGCUGGAGUACGGUAGAGGAAGGUGGAAUUCCCGGUGUAGCAGUGAAAUGCGUAGAUAUCGGGAGGAACACCGGUGGCGAAGGCGGCGAUCUGGGUCGAUACUGACGCUGAGGUGCGAAAGCGUGGGGAGCAAACAGG
Molecule: ribosomal RNA, 253 nt
Filed under: uncultured bacterium
Lineage: Bacteria
Description: partial 16S ribosomal RNA
Rfam family: Bacterial small subunit ribosomal RNA
Source: RNAcentral